GGAGACCUGAGACCCCGGUCUCCUCCAGGUGGGUGUGACAUUUGCUGGGACCCCUGCCUGUUCACCCUUCUCUGCCCACCUCUCUCUGGGUCCCAGCCCCUGACUCUCCCUUUCCCACUGGGAGGCUUUGAUGUGGACUGGCCUGUGUAGUCAGCACCCCCUGAGGCUGGGUGGGCGGGGGACCCUCUCCCCUCUAAUUUGCUCUGUGCUUGAGGGGCUGGGGGUGUGCCAUAAAAACAGGGUGGAGCAUGGGGCGCCUGGGUGGCGCAGUCGGUUAAGCGUCCGACUUCAGCCGGGUCACGAUCUCGCGGUCCGUGAGUUCGAGCCCCGCGUCAGGCUCUGGGCUGAUGGCUCAGAGCCUGGAGCCUGUUUCCGAUUCUGUGUCUCCCUCUCUCUCUGCCCCUCCCCCGUUCAUGCUCUGUCUCUCUCUGUCCCAAAAAAUAAAUAAACGUUGAAAAAAAAAUUAAAAAAAAAAAAAAAAAAAACAGGGUGGAGCGAACCCCCGCCUAGCCUGGAUUCAGGCUGGUGGGAGGAAGAUACAAGGGCGGUUAUGAAAUCCGGGGGCCUCUGCCCACGCCCAGUGCCGCUCUUUCUAGAUCUUCGCGCCCACGCCCAAACAAGAUACUGGAAAGAAAAGCCGGAAAACUUGGUAUAAAAGCGUUUGACCCCUUUUCUCCUCCACGUGAAAGGCAAAAUUCUCGCAACGACCUACCAGGCGCUACCCGACCUACCCUCCGCCCAUCCCUGUCCGGGCCUGCAGCCUGGAAACCUGCCUCCGGAGACGUCCCCAUGGGUGAGUCCCUCCCUUCUUCAAGUCACUUGCUCAGAGACCACCGUCUCACGAGGCCUGCCCCACCACUCUGAAACUGCCAGCCGCCGCCUCCUGCCCCAUUCCCGACCUGCCUUCUUUCCCCGCCGGCAACCAUUGCUUGUAACGCACCAAAAUCUGUGCUCUCAAAUUGACAAAUUCUGUUUAUAGUUAAUUACCUUUCCGUGUUAAAAAGUAAGCUUCCUGGUGGCAGGAUCUCUAUGUUCUGCUCACUGAUGUAUCUAUCCCCAAGUUCUGGAACAGGGUCAGGCAUAUAAUAAUAGGUGCUUAGGGGCACCUGGGUGGCUCAGUCGGUUGGGUGGCCAACUUCACCUCAGGUCAUGAUCUUGCGGUCUGUGAGUUCGAGCCCCGCGUCGGGCUCCUUCCUGACUGCUUGGAGCCUGGAGCCUGCUUCAAAUUCUGUGUCUCCUUCUCUCUCUGCCCCUUCCCCAUUCUCACUCUGUCUUUCAAAAAUGAAUAAAUGUUAAAAAAAUUAAAAAAAAAUAAUAAUAGGUGUUUAAUGUUUUGGGAAUUGACACAAAUUGAAUCCUCCCCAUAGGUCUACUAGUCUCUGACUCUCCUUCCCUACAGACCGUUUCCAUGAUUCCGUUGAUCCCACCUGUUUCCCAACACACACACCAUACACACUCAUACACACACACACACACCAGGACCAGGAAUCUAACCUCCCAGCCCUCAUCUCUAAAUCCUUUUGGACUUUCAGGGAGAGGAAAUCUUUCCAAGAGUAUCUCACAGACCCAAUCAAGAAAGCUGAAUACACGUAAGUAGCCAAAAGAAUCCUGGUGUGUGUGUGUGUGUGUGUGUGUGUGUGUGCGCGCGCGCGUGUGUUUUAACCGAAACGGGAAUAUCUUAUUCAUUUUGCUACUUACAAAAAUAACAUUAAAAAAAGAUAACCCAAGGGGCACCUGGCUGGCCCAGUCGGUGGAACGUGCAACUCGUGAUCUCAGGGUUGUGAGUUCAAGCCCCACAUUAGAUGUAGAGCUUACUUUAAAAAAUAAAAAUAAGGACAGCACCUCGGUGGCUCAGUGGGUUGAGCCAGGGUUGUGGGAUCAAGCCCAGUGUCGGGCUCUGAGUUGACCAUGGAGCCUGCUUAAGAUUCUCUCUCUCUCUCCCUCUGCCACUCUCCUCCCCCACUCACACACACUCUCUCUCUCUCUCUCAAAUAAAAAUAAAUAAAUAAUAGGGGCGCCUUGGUGGCUCAGUCGGUGAAGUGUCCGACUCUUGGUUUCGGCUCAGGUCAUGAUCUUGUGGUUGGUGGGUUUGAGCCCUACGUCAGGCUCCAUGCUGCUGACGGGGCAGAGUCUGCUUGGGAUUCUCCCUCUCUCUGCUCCCACCCUGCUCUCUCUCUCUCUCUCUUUCUCAAAAUAAAUAAACUUUUAAAAUAAACAAAUAAAUAAAUAGUGUAACCCCAAAGUGCUGGUUAUUAGCUGCAAACACGAAUGGCACUUGACACUUUCUAAAACCCAGGGGUGAGUGGGGAUGCCGGCAGAAGAGGAAUGGAGUGGACUGGAUCCCCCUGGGCCCUUCGCUGUCCUCCCUCACUUUCCCGCUGCCUCUCUCUGUCCUGACUGACCCACCCGGAGUCCUCCUAUCUGCCUAGCUGUUGGUGAGAGAUGUCCCCUCCUCCCCCAAACUGAAGCUCCCUAGGACUGCACUCGGAAUGUUCUAACAUUCCUGACCAAGAGGCUCUACUGGGCCCCACUGCUCAAAGCAACCACAAGGACGAAAAAAAAAAACACACGACUUUUCAGAGCUAUAAAAUCACCGUCUGUUUAUUUAUAUGUGUGCGCCGUCUCAUUCGAAAAGAAACUGAGCUCUGAAAAUCAUACCGUGCGACACCCACCAGAUUAUUUUUGUACGGACACGUAUUUGUUGUGCAAAUACUUUUGCAAAGGUAGUGAAGGUUUUUUCGUGUAGUAAUACAGCGUCCCACCCCUACCAAGGCAAAAGCUUUCUCUUUUUCCAUAUUCCAGGGACACCAUCAUCGUUUCGAGUCUGUAUUCUGCCUUCUCUUAUUUAGCGUUGCUUUAUGACCCUUUGUCAUGUUGCUACACGGUCUUCGUAACUACAGCUUUUCCUGGAAUAUAAUAUUGCAUCAACUAGGUUUUACCACCUUGGUAAGAGCAGUAAAAGUCUUCUAGGAAAUGCUUCACGCCCCCACCCCCACCCCACUCCAUAUGGUUCCAGUGGGACAGCCAACCACAGGCCAUCUGACCCAGGUUUGGUCAAUCCUCUGGUCACAGAGAAUGGCCCAGGAAUGCAGGAGUCACCCAAGCAGGGACAGCCUCCCUGGGAAAGAGCCGCUUUCUCUUUCCUCCAAGGGCACAAAGCAGGAACAAGGUUAAGUCUAGCGCCAUCAGACUUGGCCUUUCCCCCACCCCACCCGCCAUCCCCACCCUAGUCAAUUCAAUGGGGAGAAAAUGAGCCCCAUACCCCAGGGAAGCAGAGACAAGAGAUGGAGGGGGGCUGACAACUCAUUUUUGUCCACUGGACCACCCCAUUUCCUGAGCCACUAAAUUCUUUCAUGCUUAAGCUAGUUUCAGCUGGGUUUCUGUCACUUAUUGCUGAAAGAAUCUUGACUAUUGUAAUUCAUUCCCUAGGGCCGGACGUGUGGGUCGCUUUCAGGUUUUGUCAUUACAAUCAAGGCUGCAAUGCACAUCCUUUUCUGUGCAAAACACUUGCAAUUUGAAAUGUGAUUCACGAAGGAACCCUAGGAGACACUUAGACUGUUCCUUGAAAAUCAGGUAGGGCUUGGCCAGGCCAAGAGGCAAGGCUGGGUGCCCAUCUGGGGGAACCACAGAGAGUGGGCCCAUCUGGAGAACUGUGGGGAGAGAGUCUUGGCUGAAAUGGAAAGAAGGUUAGGAGGCUGGAGGAACAGGCACAGAAGGUUUCUGAGUGGGGGUGGCGGGGGCGGAGAGAAAUGGUUUUGACCAUUUCCUUACCCACCCCCACCUUCUGGUACCUGGUUCUCCUUCAGGGAGCCACCAUCAUUCUAGUCCACAUGGCCCAGAAGCAGCCCGCCAACACGUGCUCUCUUCCCUAGCCACCGAGACUGAUUCAGGGGUGAGCCUGUGACACACGCAGGGCCAAAGCAUAAUCCACGCAGGACGUAGGCGCCAAUCACUGAAAAAGACAUUCUAUGCUCUCUGGUAGGUUAUUUUCCGAAGAUGGUUGCAACAUUCCCUCCCAUCCCAAAUUCCCUUUUGCAAUGGGACUCUGACACUCUUCUCAUUAAGAGGAAGAAUUUAGGGUGACUCAGUCGGCCAAGCAAUCGACUCUUGAUCUCGGCUCAGGUCACAAUCUUGCAGUCUGUGAGUUCGAGCCCCAUGUCAGGAUUGGGAUCCUGUCUCCCUCUCUCUCUGCCCGUCCACAGCUUGUGUGCUCUCGCUCUCCAAAUAAAUAAACUUAAAGAGAGAGGAAGAAUUUAUUUUCCCUCCAGUUCAACCUGGGCUGGCCCCGUGACCUGCUUUGAUCAAGAGAACGUGAAGAAUGACACUGUGCCUGUUCGGGGCCUGGGCCUGAAGAGGACUGACAGCUUCAUCUUUGUUUUCUUAGGAGCCAGCCGUCGUGUACAGAAAUGUCGGUGAGACUACUGAAUGGUGACCGGCCAUGUGGAGGGAGAAGCCACUUGGAGAACCAGGAUGCCCCAGCCAUCAGCUAGGAUGGAGAUCUUAGGACACGUGAGAAGGCCAUGUUGGAUUCUCCAGCCCCACCCAACUAAUACCACACAGGGCAUCCACACUGAGCCCUGCCCAAAUCCUUUUUUUUCCUCCCAAAUUCUUCUUAACGUUUAUUUAUUUUUGAGAGAGAGAGACAGAGCGUGAGUGGGUAAGGGGCAGAGAGAGGGAGACACAGAAUCGGAAGCAGGCUCCAGGCUCCGGGCUGUCAGCACAGAGCCCGUCGCGAGGCUUGAACCCACAAACCGUGAGAUCGUGACCUGAGCCGAAGCCGGAUGCUUAACCGCCUGGGUGCCCCAGCCCAAAUUCUUGAUCCACAGACUUCUGAGCAAAGAAAUGGUUUGUGUGUCAG
RNAcentral lists this long non-coding RNA (4858 nucleotides) under Lynx pardinus (Iberian lynx). The record is from RNAcentral. Lineage: Eukaryota; Metazoa; Chordata; Mammalia; Carnivora; Felidae.